CACAUGCAAGUCGAACGGAGUGAAACGCUGGUUUGAUGGUAGCUUGCUACUGGAUUUCCUGUUUCACUUAGGUGGCGGACGGGUGAGUAACGCGUGAGUAACCUGCCUUACANAGGGGGGACAACAGUUGGAAACGACUGCUAAUACCGCAUAACGUAGCGAGAGGGCAUCCUCUUGUUACCAAAGGAGCAAUCCGCUGUAAGAUGGACUCGCGUCCAAUUAGAUAGUUGGUGAGGGUAAUGGCUCACCAAGUCGACGAUUGGUAGCCGGACUGAGAGGUUGAACGGCCACAUUGGGACUGAGACACGGCCCAGACUCCUACGGGAGGCAGCAGUGGGGGAUAUUGCACAAUGGAGGAAACUCUGAUGCAGCAACGCCGCGUGAGGGAAGAAGGUUUUCGGAUUGUAAACCUCUGUUUUUAGUGAAGAAACAAAUGACGGUAGCUAAAGAGGAAGCCACGGCUAACUACGUG
This 472-nucleotide ribosomal RNA is filed under the name uncultured bacterium. Its description in RNAcentral is "bacterial SSU rRNA". It matches the Rfam family "Bacterial small subunit ribosomal RNA", at positions 52 to 507 of the family's 1533-position model. The record is from RNAcentral.